Mustela putorius furo (domestic ferret) is the source of this 333-nucleotide unclassified non-coding RNA. Its record names the gene 7SK. It matches the Rfam family "7SK RNA". From Rfam's summary of the family: 7SK was discovered as an abundant small nuclear RNA in the mid-70s but a possible function has only recently been suggested. Two independent studies have found that 7SK RNA binds the CDK9/cyclin T complex (known as elongation factor P-TEFb). The record is from Ensembl. NCBI's taxonomy places the organism in Eukaryota, Metazoa, Chordata, Mammalia, Carnivora, Mustelidae.
GGAUGUGAGGGCGACUUGGCUGAGACAUCUGUCACUUCAUUGAUCGCCAGGGUUGUUUCGGUUGAUCUGGCUGUGUAGGCGGGUGUCCCCUUCCUCCCUCAUAGCUCCAUGUGCAUCCCUCCCAAAGCUGUGCACUCCAUAGAAGAGGACGACCUUCCCCAGUAGAGGAGAGGACCAUUCCUCAGUCAAGGGUAUACAAGUAGCUGUACUCCCCUACUAGAACCUCCAAACAAGCUCUCGAGGUCCAUUUGUAGGAGAACGUAGGGUAGUUAAGCUUCCAAGACUGCAGACUCAUCCAAAUGAAGUACUGUAUGUGGCAGUUUGCUUUUAUUU